Molecule: ribosomal RNA, 1043 nt
Filed under: uncultured archaeon
Lineage: Archaea
Description: bacterial SSU rRNA
Rfam family: Archaeal small subunit ribosomal RNA
Source: RNAcentral
UCUGGUUGAUCCUGGCGGAGGCCACUGCUAUCGGAGUUCGAUUAAGCCAUGCGAGUCGAGAGGUGCAAGACCUCGGCAUACUGCUCAGUAACACGUGGACAACCUACCCUACGGAGGGGGAUAACCCCGGGAAACUGGGGAUAAUACCCCAUAGACUAUGGAUGCUGGAAUGCUUUGUAGUUGAAAGGUCCGCCGCCGUAGGAUGGGUCUGCGGCCGAUUAGGUUGUUGUUGGGGUAACGGCCCAACAAGCCUGUAAUCGGUACGGGUUGUGGGAGCAAGAGCCCGGAGAUGGAUUCUGAGACACGAAUCCAGGCCCCACGGGGCGCAGCAGGCGCGAAAACUUUACAAUGCGGGAAACCGUGAUAAGGGAACUCCGAGUGCCCGUAAAAUCGGGCUGUCCAUCUGUUUAAAUAACAGGUGAAGAAAGGGCCGGGCAAGACCGGUGCCAGCCGCCGCGGUAAUACCGGCGGCUCGAGUGGUGGCCACUAUUACUGGGCUUAAAGCGUUCGUAGCUGGUCUGUUAAGUCUCUGGGGAAAUCUACUGGCUUAACCAAUAGGCGUCUCAGGGAUACUGGCAGACUAGGGACCGGGAGAGGUGAGAGGUACUCCAGGGGUAGGAGUGAAAUCCUGUAAUCCUUGGGGGACCACCUGUGGCGAAGGCGUCUCACCAGAACGGCUCCGACAGUGAGGGACGAAAGCUGGGGGAGCAAACCGGAUUAGAUACCCGGGUAGUCCCAGCCGUAAACGAUGCGCGUUAGGUGUAUCGGUGACCACGAGUCACCGAGGUGCCGAAGAGAAAUCGUGAAACGUGCCGCCUGGGAAGUACGGUCGCAAGGCUGAAACUUAAAGGAAUUGGCGGGGGAGCACCACAACAGGUGGAGCCUGCGGUUUAAUCGGACUCAACGCCGGAAAUCUCACCGGAUAAGACAGCUGGAUGAUAGUCGGGCUGAAGACUCUACUUGACUAGCUGAGAGGAGGUGCAUGGCCGUCGUCAGUUCGUACUGUGAAGCAUCCUGUUAAGUCAGGCAACGAGCGAGACCCA